UUCCGGCGAGUUAAUUUUCAAAACGUAUUAAUCCUUUCCGCCUUUUACUAAAAGAUUACCGUGGAAUUGACUCACAAACAUGCCGGCUUCACUCAAUUUGUGUACCCCUCCUUGUGAGGGAA
This 122-nucleotide small nuclear RNA is filed under the name Hyaloperonospora arabidopsidis Emoy2. RNAcentral's name for it is "Hyaloperonospora arabidopsidis U5 spliceosomal RNA". It matches the Rfam family "U5 spliceosomal RNA". From Rfam's summary of the family: U5 RNA is a component of both types of known spliceosome. The precise function of this molecule is unknown, though it is known that the 5' loop is required for splice site selection and p220 binding, and that both the 3' stem-loop and the Sm site are important for Sm protein binding and cap methylation. The record is from Rfam by way of RNAcentral. Lineage: Eukaryota; Oomycota; Peronosporomycetes; Peronosporales; Peronosporaceae.